AUUGAACGCUGGCGGCAUGCCUUACACAUGCAAGUCGAACGGCAGCACGGGUGCUUGCACCUGGUGGCGAGUGGCGAACGGGUGAGUAAUACAUCGGAACAUGUCCUGUAGUGGGGGAUAGCCCGGCGAAAGCCGGAUUAAUACCGCAUACGAUCUACGGAUGAAAGCGGGGGACCUUCGGGCCUCGCGCUAUAGGGUUGGCCGAUGGCUGAUUAGCUAGUUGGUGGGGUAAAGGCCUACCAAGGCGACGAUCAGUAGCUGGUCUGAGAGGACGACCAGCCACACUGGGACUGAGACACGGCCCAGACCCCUACGGGAGGCAGGAGGGGGGAAUUUUGGAAAAUGGGGGAAAGCCUGACCCAGAAAUGCCGGGGGUGUGAAGAAGGCCUUGGGUUGGUAAAGCACUUUUGCCCGGAAAGAAAUCCUGGGCCCUAAUACGGGCGGGGGAUGAGGGUCCCGGAAGAAAAAGCCCCGGUUAACUACGU
Molecule: ribosomal RNA, 485 nt
Filed under: uncultured bacterium
Lineage: Bacteria
Description: partial 16S ribosomal RNA
Rfam family: Bacterial small subunit ribosomal RNA
Source: RNAcentral